ACGCUCGACACCUACGGGGGGCAGCAGUGGGGAAUAUUGCACAAUGGGGGAAACCCUGAUGCAGCGACGCCGCGUGAGCGAAGAAGUAUUUCGGUAUGUAAAGCUCUAUCAGCAGGGAAGAAACUGACGGUACCUGACUAAGAAGCACCGGCUAAAUACGUGCCAGCAGCCGAGGUAAUCUGAGCGGGCUGGCAAGGC
RNAcentral lists this ribosomal RNA (198 nucleotides) under uncultured bacterium. Its description in RNAcentral is "partial 16S ribosomal RNA". It matches the Rfam family "Bacterial small subunit ribosomal RNA", at positions 328 to 539 of the family's 1533-position model. The record is from RNAcentral.